Molecule: non-coding RNA, 126 nt
Organism: Lupinus albus (white lupine)
Lineage: Eukaryota; Viridiplantae; Streptophyta; Magnoliopsida; Fabales; Fabaceae
Source: the annotation of a GenBank genome assembly
CGUCUUAUAUAUAUAUCGGUCUUCCGAACCUUAAUAACAUCUGGCCCAUUAGCUCAGCUGGUUAGAGCGUCGUGCUAAUAACGCGAAGGUCGCAGGUUCGAGACCUGCAUGGGCCAAAAUUAAUUA